RNAcentral lists this long non-coding RNA (1745 nucleotides) under Solanum tuberosum (potato). RNAcentral's name for it is "long non-coding RNA (STUB_LNC009934)". The record is from RNAcentral. Lineage: Eukaryota; Viridiplantae; Streptophyta; Magnoliopsida; Solanales; Solanaceae.
AUCAACACAUGAAGACUGGUGGAGAAUACCAUUUUUUCUAAUAUAUGACUGAAUCAAUUCUGACAUAUGUUCUUUAGCAUUGUCACUCCUUCAAAUACGUAUCGAAGCAUGGAAUUGAGUUUUGACUUCAGCACAAAAGAGACAAAAGUGGGUUAACGGGUCUUCAUAAAAUAAAUCCAAGUCAUUCGAGAGAAAUCAUCUAUAAAAUAAUUUCUCUUCUCCGGUCAGGCAGUUGCAAGGAUAGAAGCAGCAACGAGGCAGUAGCCUCGCAAAACCUAAUCGAACCUUCUCUCUCUUCUUUCAGAGCGACAACAACACCCAAAUUCUGGUUGAGCAGCAACAAAGACAAGCACUGCUUAGGACCAAGAGGUUCAAGUUUAGGUUGGUCAAAGACAAAUCUCAACAGAUCUGGUUGCGCCGUUUGAGUAUGUUAAAUAUCGGUGUGUCCUUAUUUUCAUUUUAAUGAAAUCUGCAUCUUGUAAUACAGAUCGAGUUGUUGAUUCUUGACUGGAAAUUGUUUUUAUUAAAUUGUCCCUUAAAACAAUCUUUUUCUUUUCGGCUUAUCGAAAUUUAUACUCCUCGAUCAUUUUUUAUUUAAUUCUCCUAACAUAUUGAUUGCUUCCUUUAAUUGAUGCUUUAUAUACUAAUCCGUUAAUAAUUCUUGCAUAUGAUUGAUCGGACAAUUAUGAUUGAUUCUUUGAAAUUUGCCUGACCCAAAUUAACGCAAUUUGUUGUAGUAUGAGUUGAAGCUUUUGGCUAAGUUAUACAUAAUGGAUGCCUUAAAUUGAUUCUUCUGCCAUAUAUAUCUCUUGACAGAUCUCUUGAUCUCUUACCUAUUCAAUUAUGAUAGUAAUUUAUUACAAUAUGAGACUAUUAGAUUUCGACUUGGAACGGUAAUUAUUCUUUUUACUUUAACAAUCCUUUCUUUCGCCUGUUUAUCAUAUAAUAUUAAUUGAUGGUUUGGUUUAAAUUGAUUUUUUUGCCUUAUACAUAUUUUGACAGAUUUUACGUAUUUAUUUUUGGUAAAUCUUUACUCGUUUGGUAAAUUACUUGACUGAUUUGGAUCUCUUUAUAUAAAGAAAAUAUAUUUUAAUAGAAUCAAUUAAUUAUUUUCCUGUUUGCCUGACUUGUCUUUGACUAUAUAAAGAGACCCUUUGCUUCAUUAUUUUCUCACGCUUCAACAACAAUAAAAUAUUCCCUGAAAAGAAAAUAGUGUUCUUAAAAUAUUAAUUGGAAGACUCCUUUGACUAGACCUGCAGUUUUCAAACUAAUUUGGAUUCAAGUCUUUGUCGAUUAUAUAUUUCACUACUUAAUCGGUUAGUUUUUCUAUGCUUAAUUCAUGUCUUACAUUAAGAUAUCGUUUAGUGUUGCAUAAAGUUCAUAAUGUUGAAAUAAAAGCAAGCAUACAUGUACUCAGUCUACAUCCCCUCUUGAUGCUUGGGAUGUUGUAUUUGUAUGAAUGUGCAUGAUUCACUAUCGUUUAUAGUGUUCAUGUUCUUUUUGUUAAAAUUAAUUCCUCUAACUGGUAGUAUAUAUAUUUUGUGUUUUUGUGCAUUUUUUGUAUACUGUGAAGAUGAACAGGUUAAUUUACAAGAUGAGAACAGCUGCAAGGGAUGGUGUUCGGGUUGAGGAUAUUCUGUUUAAGAUGAUUAUUUAAUUAUUGUACUUUUCUUGUUAGUAUUCUUUAUUUGGGUUGUAAUAAUUUGUAUUAAACUCUGCUCUAUAUAUAAUAUAUAAUUUGGGGG